UAAAGGUGCAGGACCAGCACCCAGGGGCAGGUAGCAGACCCUUGCUGAGAGAAAGAAGGAAGAAUUCCAGGUUGCAGGUGCCACCAGGCCAAUCUGCAUCUUCAAAUACGUCAGGGUUUUCAGUUGGCGGCUUGACAAGUGCAUGCUGCACAGCCUCUCCCACCCCACCUGCAGGGCUAGUACGUGACACAUUUGGGUGGCGAAUGCUUGGAAUGCCUAGAAGAUCUGGCUCUAGCCAUCGAGCUGCGUGCUGCUGCUACAGAAAACAGCAAUAAAUUGAAUGCAAGUAUUACUUCUUCAAAGAUUUGCUUCUUAUCCACACUUUCAAGUAUGAAAAUGCUUUACCUUCCUGUCUCAAAAUUGAUGAGGAGGCCCCAUCUCCCCACAGAGGAGAGAGCGACAGAACCUGCACACGGAGCACCUUAA
Phyllostomus hastatus (greater spear-nosed bat) is the source of this 426-nucleotide long non-coding RNA. RefSeq lists it as uncharacterized. Lineage: Eukaryota; Metazoa; Chordata; Mammalia; Chiroptera; Phyllostomidae. The transcript is spliced from 3 exons. The record is from RefSeq and is a predicted model, not a curated record.